RNAcentral lists this long non-coding RNA (4502 nucleotides) under Homo sapiens (human). RNAcentral's name for it is "non-protein coding lnc-GRIP1-1:4". The record is from RNAcentral. Lineage: Eukaryota; Metazoa; Chordata; Mammalia; Primates; Hominidae.
ACUCCACCGAGGUCGUCGCCUAAGCCGGAGGAGCCGCCAGUUUGGGCUCGGGGAGGGAGGCGGAGAGGGAGUGGCGGCCGCGGUGGAGCGGCGUGGGCUCCGCACCAGCAGCUCGGUGCCAGGCUCGGUACCUGGCAGGCCGGGCGCGCCUCGCAGGCCGCCCGGGGCGCGGAGGGUGUGAGCGCGCGCGCCCCCUCCGUGCCCGCUCAGCCUCGCGCGCGUCUCGGGGGAGGCUCCGCCGAGAGGCGCCCGGGGAGCCCGCAGCCUCAGUCCUGCCGCCGGCGGAGCUUUGUGCGGCGGCGGCUCCGAGUCCCACCUGCUGGCGGCGGAGAGACAAGGAAGAGGAAGAAGGAGGAGGAGGAGGGGAAAGAGGCGGCGGCGCCAGCCCACUCCUCUCGCCGGCGCCCACUCCCGGGGGCUCCGCAGCCCCCCGCUCUCGGCCUGCACCAGCUCCCCGCCCCCGGCCCGGCCCGGCCUCCCGGCCACACCGCGGCAGCCGCCGCUGCAGCCCCCAGCCUUGCCCGGCGGGGCCCGGCCCGGCCCGGCCCGGCCGCCGCCGCCGCCGCCGCCGCCCGGAGCCGCCGGCGAGUUUGAGGGGAGCGCGGGGCGCGCGGCGCCGCUUCAAUGUGCCCGGGAGCCGCCUCGGCGCCCCAGCCCCGCUGAACAGCCCCGGCGCGGCUGCCCUAGAGGACGAGCGAGGAGGCGCGGAGAGCCCCGGAGAAAGAGAGCCAGCGAGAAAGAGCGAGCCCGACAGCGAGCGCAGGGAGCGACACCAUGCCCGGCUGGAAGAAGAAUAUCCCUAUCUGCUUGCAGGCAGAGGAGCAGGAGAGAGCAAUUACUUGAUGAUGCACGUGUCAAGAGUCAUUCUACAUGCUGGAGAUACCGUGGUACAGAAGACAGAGGAGGUCCUUGCCCUAGUGGAGUCAGCAAGCUAAAAAGAAAACAGAAAAACUAGUGGCAAGUACAAUGAAGAAAACCAGAUCAAAGUUUUGGGAUGGAGUGGUGGAGGUGUUGAGAAGGGUGAGCGUUUGAGAUACAGUGUUCCUUCUUGGAGAACAGGAUGUUGGGAUGACCCUGAUUGAAGAGAUGGAGUCAUUGUAUAAUCUGGAUAGGAGGCUGGGGCAUAAAGCCUCCAGAGAUAAAAGUGUAUUCAUUCUAAUACAGUACUUCCCUUGCCAUCUUCUGGAUGGCUUGUUUCUUUGACAUUCAUUUGUUAAAUCAGUUUUUUUUUUUAAUUCCGAAUCCAUUUUUUCCUAGGAAUAAUGCACUCAGAAUAGGAAAAAUGUAGAUUUAAAACCAGGCCUAAUCAUAAAGUCUUUUUGCAAUAUGUCACUAACAGGUAAAAGACGACUGUGGCCAAAGGGGACAUAGUUACUGGAGAAAACCUUUAUUUUGCAGGACUGCUGUUGCUAUUCACAUAGAGGAGUCUUCUGUUAGUAUACUAUUGCAAAGUUAGGGAUUGUCUAAAGUGGGGGUGGUGAUUUGGGGGUAUGAAAAGAUGGUUUGCUCUGUCUGUAGAAUAGUGUUAGUAAGUGUGUCAUAAUCUUCUCUGUAUUUGGAUCCUAAACAUCCAUUGAGCAUGAUUCUUAAGCUAAAAGUACACUUACCAUGUCAUCAGAGGAUACUAAAAUGUAUGAUUGCUUUAUAGUCGUUGUUUGUUUUCUGUAGAACAAAAUUAUUUUAUGCUUCUCCCUAGUCUUUCAAGUGCACUCCAUUAUAAAGAUUCUUAAUGGCUUUUGUAUGUCCAAGGAAAGAUUAUAUGUCAAAGAAAUUAUUUCCAGAAAGUGCACAAAGUUGUACAGGGUCUUUCAGGUUACAGCCCACAGCAUCACCAUCUUCUGUGCUUUGUGGAGAAUUAGACCCUUUAUAUUGCUAUUGUAGAUUAUGUUACUAUCAAUAGAUAAACAGGGAAUUGUAUGUUGCUUGUUGGAAUAAGUUAUUUUCUACAUAACUUACUAUGUGUUAAAUAUGAUUCAGAGGAUUGGACUUUUAUGUUUAAAAAUAAAUUUAAUGUAAGAUGAAAUUCCUGUUUUCUGAUAAUUAUCUGAACUGCUUUUCACGAUUGAGUCUAGCCAACAAACUUAAAAUUUAUGUGUAGUUUCAGAACAGUGGCAAACAUUUUGUGAAAACAGGUGCUUUUGAUUACUGCUAAGCUGGUCUUAUGUUUUCACAUUGUGCUUCUGCUGGCAGUAGUAUGUGGUUCCUGAAUUUUCAGGUGCAGAAAAUAACAUUUGAUUUGUGAAGCCCCAUUUUUGAGAUAAAACUAGGCACAUGUCAAAUGUAAGCAAUAUGGAAUGUGACGCCAACAGUGGCAUCCUUGCUGAUUCUAAAAAUUGGAUAUAGGUUAACAAAUUGCUGUAGUGGAAAGUUUUACAAAUGAUUACAGCUCUGGUUAAUACUUGUUUUUGUAAACUGUAAUCUGCCUGCAAAAAAUUAACUUCUGCAAGUAUUUUGAAGACAUGAAUAUGAACUUAUACCUUUAAAAACUUUGCUCAGUACAUUUCACCCUGCUUAUAAUCGUGAUCACUUUUAGGGGAACAGCUGUUAAAAUUUAGGGUGAGAUGUACGGGUGCUCAGCAGUUGGUUGUAAAUUUCCACUUUAUGGAUUUACAGUGGUCUUUCAUUAUUGAAGUAGAAUUGGGGAAUCCCCAUCACCUUAAAACUGUUAUUUAUGGCUGGUUUUAUCUACCAAUGCCAAGUUUUCAUGAUUUAUAGGAACAAACACCUCUCUCUUUUAUUCUUAAAAAUUCCAAAUCUUCUGUGUAAUGGUGUUUUUAGCACUAUUUGGAAGAUGAUCAGGCAUAAAAGGAAUUUUAAACCUAAGAACUGUUGGGAUCUUCCAAUCCAGCCCUCUGAUUUUACAUAAAUUUAAUAUCUCUAACAACAGAGUAAUUUGCUCAGUAAUUGUUUAAGGCUUAAAGAGAGAAAAUGUCUAACUCAAGAUUACACAGCUCAGAAUAGAAGUAACGUAAGUAUUUAAGUCUGUGAACUUGGUGUAUUUUUAAUCGUAUCCUCCCCCAUACACUUCCCAUUGCUUCAAACACUGCCUUCAUGUGAAAUUUCCCACAACCCUGCUCACUCUCCCAAGGGUUAGCCCUGGAGCCCCUGUGUAUGUGAAUGGCACCCCCAAUUACUCCAUCGUUUUGUGAUUACUUACAUACAGUGUCCUUUUGUGAGUGCCAUAUCCUCAUCUUUGUAUUCCAGCAUCUAAGACAGUGCCUGGACCAUCUAUAGAUGUUUCUGUCUUAAAAAGCUGUGAAGAAGACUGAUUCCCAUAAGCCACCCACAGAAACCUAUCUCAUUACUUUGUAGUCACUAUUCGUGUAUUUGAAAUGAUUAGGAAGUUUAGAAAACCAUACUCUGGCUGUAAGAAUCUUAGUUUGCCAUAUCAAUGAUUCCGAUGCUAUUCCUCUCCAUCUACUACUCUGUGUAGCACAGGAAAACACAGCUCCUGCAACAGAUGUUUUGAGAAUCCAAAUGCAAGGAAAAUAGAAGGGGAAAGCAGUGUUUAUACUUUAUAAGAUUCUUAUAGACCUACCUUUUUCUUUUCAACACAUGCUACGAAGUUUAUUAUGCUUGAUCUCCUGAGAUCAGUGCAUGCUAGGCCCUAUGCUUCGUAAUUUAUGUGCAUUAGCUCAUUUAAUCCACACAACUCCAUGAGACUAAUACUAUUAUCUUUAUUUUCCAGAUAAAACUUGAGCCAAAUGAGCUUAAUUUUCUCAAUGUUACACAAUUGUCGGUAUGUUAGCUAUUAUCAGCCAAUAUGCAUUAAGCACUACUAUGUGCUGAGAGCCAUGGCAGGAAUAUCCCAGCUCCCAACUGCAGUGCUGUGUGCCAUCCUUCCCCAUGCUGCCAGUCAACUGUGCCUUCAUGAUGGCAGCCUCCAUCCUCGUGAUGGGUUGAUAAACUCCUGAGUCAGCUUGGAUAUAAUUCCACGGCUCCAAAAGGAGAAAAAGCAGCAAACGCAACAUGCUGUUAUGACUAACCAUUUUUGUAAUGAGGUGAAUGUUCUUCUCAGUACGUUCAUUCAAUUAUUUUGUAUUCAAUUAUACUUUGAAUAGGAGAAUUUACCUUACACUCUAGUGUGACUUUGUUGUUGUUGUUUUUUUUCCCACUGAAUCUGAAAUUAGGGACUGAUGUAUGUAAUUCACAGCAUACUUGGACUGGAAGAAAAUUUAUCACCAAGGUGAGCAAACAGAUCCAGUUUAGAGUUGGGACCUUGACUCAGCUUUGUGUAUAAUCCCUCAGCAACGUAGUACAAGAGCAGGAGGGCUGUGACAUUGUCCUGUGUCAUGUCCAGCCAUCACAAUAUUUGAAUAUGAAUGCAUUUUGUGUCUGUAAUACCUAGAACUCAAAUUGUGAAAAGUGGAACAGUAAAAAACCAAUGCAUCUAUAUAAACAAAAAUGUGAAUGUGGGUAUAAAACUUUCAUAAGAUCAGAGAGUUCUCUGAGGAAUUCCAAAUAAAUCUAGAAUUCAUGAGAAUUGGAAAACUAUAUAGGAA